Hordeum vulgare subsp. vulgare (domesticated barley) is the source of this 1625-nucleotide long non-coding RNA. RefSeq lists it as uncharacterized. The record is from RefSeq and is a predicted model, not a curated record. The transcript has 6 exons. NCBI's taxonomy places the organism in Eukaryota, Viridiplantae, Streptophyta, Magnoliopsida, Poales, Poaceae.
CGACGGUGGGCUCGGCUAGGCUAGGCGGCUGGGGAGCAGGGAGCGGAGCGGAGCCAUCUGGGUAUCCCAAAAUAUUUUAUCCUGAUCGAGAGUCUAAUUUUAACUUCCUAUCUGUGCCCACCUGCAGAUGAUUUUAGUUUGCAAUCAUGGGAUUUCUCUAGGUUUUGGCCGUACGUGGUGUUUUAUUGUCCAGGAAAGACAAGGAGCUUAUUUUGCUGCAGCUUUAGAAGAGCUUAGUGUGGCGAGUGCGACCCACGCGGAGGGGAGAUGGCACGGGGAGUCGGGACCAGAUCACCACGCUUGGGUGCUCUGGUUCUAGCAUGGUACCAGAACGGGUGUGUAGAGGAGGCCAUGCAGACAAGAAGCAGCCAUGGAUAUGGAACAUGAGGGGAGCUAACUGGCAGCGGCCAAGCUUGACCGCUGUAGAGAGGAACAGACAGGUCGUGGCAUCUCGCUCAUCUCUUCUGUGUCUUUUGCUGCUUCACUGAUAUUCAUCUGCCUCGCGGUCACCUAACUCUUCGGUGAGGUCAGCGCCGGCUCUGUCUGGGUCUUUUUCUGCUUUGUCACCGUCUCCCUUAAAAGGUGCCCAUUGAGCCAACAACCAUCAGAUUAAUUGUUGUCAUGGUAUGCUCUAGCUAGCACUCCUGUGUUCUGUUCAAGAACUACUGGGUGGAUGAAAUAAUUUUUUCCCUACACGAUCUGUGAGAAGUGUUUGUUAUAUGCAGGCGUGCUAUUUGGGUUGUUGGCAAGAGAGUUUGGAAUGGCCGUCUGCUCCAGCUGUGCCUGGAGCGCCACAGCCAUGGAGUUCUCGGACAUCCCCAUUGCCUGCAACGCGACUCCUUCAGCUCGGUACCAUGCCAUGAUGCCUUCAGUUUGAGGCCUCCGCUUCCUUCCUAAUUUGUUGUGUGGCUGCGCUCUCUGUUACUUCAAGCAGCAAGGGACAGUAUCACCUCCUCCCAUCAGCGAACGGAUGCCUAUGCAUUCCCAGAGGGUGCUCACAUUCAAGUGAUAUGUUACCCCAAUAGAUAUCAGGAGAAUUACAACGUCACCAUUCUAUCUUUAUGUUUUACAAUUGCAAACACUUAUUUUCAAUCCUCCAGUAGGUGCCUAGACUUAGAAAAAUAUUUCAUUGACGAGGUAUUGAGGUUUCAAAUCAAUUGAAAACAUCGUGUGAAUCUGUUACAUAUGAGUUGUUUUUGGAAGAAAAGUUGUGUCUUUGUUUAAUGAACCAGACAUGCUAUUGGAAGGACUGCACUUCUCUUAAGUGGGGGUGCUUCACUGGAUUCGUUCUUUGACAAUCUGGUGUGGACAGGAUGCAGAUUUUGGAAGUUUUACUGUUAUGCUUCUGUUCUGACUGUUGGUUCGGUUCAUUACAAGCUACUUAUGAUCAGAGUGACUCAUCAACUUUUAGGAUAUAUGGAAAGAUCUGAACCAUGGAUUUUGGCCGACAGCAUCUAGGUUGUUUGUUGUAAAAAAGCAUCUUAUAUAUAUGUGUGUGUAUUGUAUAUACUGCGUGCUAAGAAUUCAGCUAAUGGACUCUAUUACACCAUGGCCUGUAGGGCGCACAUGCAGGAUGUGUAAGUGAAAGUUUUUUUUGUCAAGGAUGGCAUAGCAAUUUGUUUUAA